This 551-nucleotide ribosomal RNA is filed under the name uncultured Acaulospora. RNAcentral describes it as "SSU rRNA". It matches the Rfam family "Eukaryotic small subunit ribosomal RNA", at positions 548 to 1098 of the family's 1831-position model. Lineage: Eukaryota; Fungi; Glomeromycota; Glomeromycetes; Diversisporales; Acaulosporaceae. The record is from RNAcentral.
UUGGAGGGCAAGUCUGGUGCCAGCAGCCGCGGUAAUUCCAGCUCCAAUAGCGUAUAUUAAAGUUGUUGCAGUUAAAAAGCUCGUAGUUGAAUUUCGGAAUCUGUCCGUCGGUCGGGCUUCACUGUCCGUACUGGUGUGAUGGGUUUCUACCUUCUGAAUAACCGGCAUGUCAUUAAUUUGGUGCGCCGGGGAAGCAGAACUAUUACCUUGAAAAAAUUAGAGUGCUUAAAGCAGGCUAUCGCCUGAAUAGAUUAGCAUGGAAUAAUAAAAUAGGACGGCAUGGUUCUAUUUUGUUGGUUUCUAGGAUCACCGUAAUGAUUAAUAGGGAUAGUUGGGGGCAUUAGUAUUCAAUUGUCAGAGGUGAAAUUCUUGGAUUUAUUGAAGACUAACUUCUGCGAAAGCAUUUGCCAAGGAUGUUUUCAUUAAUCAAGAACGAAAGUUAGGGGAUCGAGGACGAUCAGAUACCGUCGUAGUCUUAACCAUAAACUAUGCCGACUAGGGAUCGGACGAUGUUAAUUUUUUAAUGACUCGUUCGGCGCCUUACGGGAAAC